GCACGGUGGCGUAGUUGGUAGCACUGUUGCCUUGCAGGUCCUGGAUUCGAUUCCCAGCUGUGGGUCU
Characodon lateralis is the source of this 67-nucleotide non-coding RNA. Lineage: Eukaryota; Metazoa; Chordata; Actinopteri; Cyprinodontiformes; Goodeidae. The record is from the annotation of a GenBank genome assembly.